Molecule: small nuclear RNA, 161 nt
Organism: Trichosurus vulpecula (common brushtail)
Lineage: Eukaryota; Metazoa; Chordata; Mammalia; Diprotodontia; Phalangeridae
Product: U1 spliceosomal RNA
Exons: 1
Source: RefSeq, a predicted model, not a curated record
AUACUUACUCGACAGGGGUGAUUCUAUGAUUAUGAAGGUUUCCCCAGGGCAAGGCUCAUCUGUUGCACUUGGGAUGGACCGACCCUUGCGAUUUCCCCAAAUGCGGGAAACUCGACUGUGUAAUUUGUGAUAGUGGGGGGCUGCAUUUGCGCUCUCCCCUG